RNAcentral lists this long non-coding RNA (1981 nucleotides) under Homo sapiens (human). Its description in RNAcentral is "HSALNT0002404". The record is from RNAcentral. Lineage: Eukaryota; Metazoa; Chordata; Mammalia; Primates; Hominidae.
AAGAGAAUGGCAUGAACCCGGGAGGCGGAGUUUGCAGUGAGCCAAGAUCGCGCCACUGCACUCCAGCCUGGGUGAUAGAGCGAGACUCCAUCUCAAAAAAAAAAAAAGAAAAAAAAUCAGCAUGCCAAUUUUCGCCUUGUGUGCAUAUGAACGGCAAAAGGUGAAAAUAUAAAAAUGUUUAUUCAGAGCUCAAAGUCACAGGAAGUCUGAUCAAGACAUUAAGACACACUCAGCAGUCAGGUUAUUCUUCCCGCCUCCGUUUGGGAGUUUGACAUUUAGAAUUUCUGUCAUCCUCAGUGACAUUUCGGUCUUGGCACCUUCUCCCGUCCUGACACUGUUGCCUGAGUUGGUGUUCACAUGCCUGCAGCAGAUGACAAGCUAGUCACCUUUCUCUGUGUGGCCAUUAACCUUUGUUUUCACAAUCAUCCUAUGAGUGAGCCAUUGUUAUUCUUUUACAGAUGAGAAAACAGGUUCAGAGAGGCAAAGUGACGUUUCUGGGUGCUGGCUGAUAAUGGCAGGUCUGGGUCCUCUUGCAGCCCAGCCUGGUGCCAUUCCUGCCACAUCACGACUACCUCCUUCUCUGCAUUGGUGCCACUCUGCUGUGCCCAGCAUCCAGCACUUCCUAAAGACCAAUGCUUCCCAAAGUGUGGUCUUCGGAACAGCAGCAUCUGCCUCACUGGGGAAUUUGUUAAAAAUGCAGAUUCUGGGGCUCCACUCAGACUUACUGAGUUGGAAACUCUAGGAGUGGGGCCCAGAAGUGUGUGUUUUUUGUUUGUUUUGGUUUUUCUGAGAGGAGGUCUUGCUGGAAUGCAGAGGCACAAUCAUGGCUCACGGCAGACUUGAACUCCUGGGCUCAAGCAAUCCUCCGGCCUCAGCCUCCUGAGUAGCUGGGACUACAGGCACACACUACCACAUCCAGCUAAUUUAAAAAACAUUUUUAUAGAGAUGAGAGUCUCAGUAUGUUUCCCAGGCUGGUCUCGAACUCCUGGCCUCAAGUGAUCCUCCUGCCUUGGCCUCCCAAAGUGCUGGGAUUACAGGCGCAAGCCACAGUGCCCGGCAGCAAUCUGUGUUUUAACACGCUCUCCAGAUGCUUUUGAUACACACUCAAGUGUGAGAACCACUGCCAAAGAAGAUGCUAAUACGAGUUUGCUGAAUUACCCUGAUUUUUGAGUGGAAUCUGAGGGAACCAUGCCAUGAUGCACAGGACAGAAUAAAUAAAGCAUUAUGAUGGCCAGGCAUGGUGGCUCAAGCCUGUAAUCCCAGCACUUUGGGAGGCCGAGACGGGCGGAUCACGAGGUCAGGAGUUCGAGACCAGCCUGGCCAACAUGGUGAAUCCCCGUCUGUACUAAAAAUACAAAAAAAUUAGCCAGGUGUGGUGGUGGGUGUCUGUAAUCCCAGCUACUCAGGAGGCUGAGGCAGGAGAAUUGCUUGAACCUGGGAGGUGGAGAUUGCAGUGAGCCAAGAUCUCACCAUUGCACUCCAGCCUAGGCGACAAGAGCGAGACUCCGUCGGCAUUAUGUCUGUGGCGUGCAUUGUUAUUGCUAUUUUCUUAUGCAGAAAAGCCAUACACACAGCCAGGCAUGGUGGCUCAUGCCUGUAACCCUAGCACUUUGGGAAGCUGAGGCAAGUGGAUUGCUUGAGUCCAUAAGUUUGAGACCAGCCUGGGCAACAUGGCUAAACCCCAUCUCUACAGGCAUCUCCAUGACAACUCUGCGACAUACGUACUAUUGGAGUUCCCCUUCUACAAAUGAAGAAACUGAGGCUGGAGAGAAUGCAUACACUGGUAUCUGUUGAGAGCUACUGUGAGCCUGGCGUUCUACACACACUGUCUCAUCGGCUGAACAUUCACGGCAGCACUAUGAGGUCUUGCUACUGUGAGGCAGGCAUCCCUCUUCCCAUUUUACAGAUGAGCACACUGAGGCUCUGCCCCAGUCAUGCAGUCCCACAGCUUCUACUGAAUGCCCGGCUGAAAUGCAGCUAC